RNAcentral lists this unclassified non-coding RNA (259 nucleotides) under Bombus terrestris (buff-tailed bumblebee). RNAcentral's name for it is "misc RNA ENSBTSG00005038806.1". The record is from RNAcentral. Lineage: Eukaryota; Metazoa; Arthropoda; Insecta; Hymenoptera; Apidae.
UAUAGACUGUGAGGAGAGCUUCGGAGGGAUAAAUUUAAUUAUUCAGAGUUAAAUAAUGGGUAACGAGAUUGUCACAUGAAAAAAUAUGGACAUGCCAGCAAGAAAAACAGAAAAAACGAUCAAUCAGCAAUUAGCUAUGUACUGUCCAGCCUGGGGUGAGCAGACCGUGCAAUCUAAAACAGACUAGGACAUGGUGCAUGAUACAAUUAUAAAUUAUCUCGGUGGAUUAUUCGUCUUGAACGAAAUGUAUCAUUAAAUC